RNAcentral lists this ribosomal RNA (497 nucleotides) under uncultured bacterium. RNAcentral describes it as "partial 16S ribosomal RNA". It matches the Rfam family "Bacterial small subunit ribosomal RNA", at positions 28 to 507 of the family's 1533-position model. The record is from RNAcentral.
GAUGAACGCUGGCGGCGUGCCUAAUACAUGCAAGUCGAGCGAACAGAUGAGGAGCUUGCUCCUCUGACGUUAGCGGCGGACGGGUGAGUAACACGUGGAUAACCUACCUAUAAGACUGGGAUAACUUCGGGAAACCGGAUCUAAUACCGGAUAAUAUAUUAAACCGCAUGGUUCAAUAGUGAAAGACGGUUUUGCGGUCACUGAUAGAUGGAUCCGCGCCGCAUUAGCUAGUUGGUAAGGUAACGGCUUACGAAGGCAACGAUGCGUAGCCGACCUGAGAGGGUGAUCGGCCACACUGGAACUGGGACACGGUCAAGGCUACUACGGGAGGGAGCAGUAGGGAAUCUUACGCAAUGGGCGAAAGCCUGGCGGAGCAACGCAGCGUGAGUGAUGAAGGUCUUCGGAUAGUAAAACUCUGUUAUUGGGGAAGAACAAAUGUGUACGUAAAUAUGCACGUAUUGACGGUACCUAAUCAGAAAGCCACGGCUAACUACGUG